GAAUCAACGCUGGCGGCGUGCCUAACACAUGCAAGUCGCACGAGAAAGGGGACUUCGGUUCCUGAGUAAUGUGGCGCACGGGUGAGUAACACGUGAAUCAUCUACCUUCGAGUGGGGAAUAACUGAGAGAAAUCUUAGCUAAUACCGCAUAAUACCUACGGGUCAAAGCAGCAAUGCGCUUGAAGAGGAGUUCGCGGCAGAUUAGUUAGUUGGCGGGGUAAUGGCCCACCAAGACGAUGAUCUGUAUCCGGCCUGAGAGGGCGCACGGACACACUGGAACUGAAACACGGUCCAGACUCCUACGGGAGGCAGCAGUGGGGAAUUUUGCGCAAUGGGGGAAACCCUGACGCAGCAACGCCGCGUGGAGGAUGAAAUCCCUUGGGAUGUAAACUCCUUUCGAUCGGGAAGAUAAUGACGGUACCGAGAGAGGAAGCCCCGGCUAACUUCGUGCCAGCAGCCGCGGUAAUACGAGGGGGGCAAGCGUUGUUCGGAAUUAUUGGGCGUAAAGGGUGCGUAGGCGGUUUGACAAGUCAUCUGUGAAAUCUCUGGGCUCAACCCAGAGUCUGCAGGCGAAACUGUCGGGCUUGAGUAUGGGAGAGGUGAGUGGAAUUUCCGGUGUAGCGGUGAAAUGCGUAGAUAUCGGAAGGAACACCUGUGGCGAAAGCGGCUCACUGGACCAUAACUGACGCUGAUGCACGAAAGCUAGGGGAGCAAACAGGAUUAGAUACCCUGGUAGUCCUAGCCCUAAACGAUGAUUGCUUGAUGUGGAGGGUACCCAAUCCUUCCGUGUCGAAGCUAACGCGAUAAGCAAUCCGCCUGGGGAGUACGGUCGCAAGGCUGA
Molecule: ribosomal RNA, 841 nt
Filed under: uncultured bacterium
Lineage: Bacteria
Description: bacterial SSU rRNA
Rfam family: Bacterial small subunit ribosomal RNA
Source: RNAcentral